UGGAGGUGAUGAGCUGUUUUGGCCUGACCUUUGGAGUGGAGGCAAAAAUACUGAUUUAAUGAGCCUGAUCC
This is a small nucleolar RNA of Dipodomys ordii (Ord's kangaroo rat), 71 nucleotides long. NCBI's taxonomy places the organism in Eukaryota, Metazoa, Chordata, Mammalia, Rodentia, Heteromyidae. The record is from Ensembl.